GUGGUGGCUCAGUGGUAGAGCACUUGCCUAGCAUGUCAGAGGCACUUGGGUUCAAUUCUCAGUACCACA
This 69-nucleotide transfer RNA is filed under the name Marmota marmota marmota (Alpine marmot). It matches the Rfam family "tRNA". Rfam says of the family: Transfer RNA (tRNA) molecules are approximately 80 nucleotides in length. Their secondary structure includes four short double-helical elements and three loops (D, anti-codon, and T loops). Lineage: Eukaryota; Metazoa; Chordata; Mammalia; Rodentia; Sciuridae. The record is from Rfam by way of RNAcentral. RNAcentral also lists the same sequence under 1 other name.